CAGUCGCCGCGGUAAUACGUAGGUGGCAUGCGUUGUCCGGAAUUAUUGGGCGUAAAGGGCUCGCAGGCGGUUUCUUAAGUCUGAUGUGAAAGCCCCCGGCUCAACCGGGGAGGGUCAUUGGAAACUGGGAAACUUGAGUGCAGAAGAGGAGAGUGGAAUUCCACGUGUAGCGGUGAAAUGCGUAUAGAUGUGGAGGAACACCAGUGGCGAAGGCGACUCUCUGGUCUGUAACUGACGCUGAGGAGCGAAAGCGUGGGGAGCGAACAGGAUUAGAGACCCCUGUAGUCCCUGUCUCUUAUAC
RNAcentral lists this ribosomal RNA (301 nucleotides) under uncultured bacterium. Its description in RNAcentral is "partial 16S ribosomal RNA". It matches the Rfam family "Bacterial small subunit ribosomal RNA", at positions 509 to 807 of the family's 1533-position model. The record is from RNAcentral.